Molecule: ribosomal RNA, 1281 nt
Filed under: metagenome
Description: bacterial LSU rRNA
Rfam family: Bacterial large subunit ribosomal RNA
Source: RNAcentral
GAUAUGCGGCCCGUACCAAAACCGACACAGGUGGGCAGGGAGAGAAUCCCGAGGUGAGCGAGAGAACUGUUGCCAAGGAACUCGGCAAAAUGACUCCGUAAGUUAGCGAGAAGGAGUGCUUAAGCAAUUAAGCCGCAGUGAAGAGGCCCAAGCGACUGUUUAACUAAAACACAGCUCUCUGCGAAGUCGCAAGACGAAGUAUAGGGGGUGACACCUGCCCGGUGCUGGAAGGUUAAGAGGAUCUGUUAAGAGCGAUCUGAAGCAGUGAUCCGAAGCCCCAGUGAACGGCGGCCGUAACAAUAACGGUCCUAAGGUAGCGAAAUUCCUUGUCAGGUAAGUUCUGACCCGCACGAAAGGUGUAACGAUUUGGGCGCUGUCUCGGCAGCAGACUCGGUGAAAUCUUAGUACCUGUGAAAAUGCAGGUUACCCGCAACUAGACGGAAAGACCCCAUGGAGCUUUACUGCAGCCUGAUAUUGAAUUCUGGUCAUACAUGUACAGGAUAGGUGGGAGACAAAGAGACGUGCACGCCAGUGUACGAGGAGUCGACGUUGGGAUACCACUCUUGUGUGACCGGGGUUCUAACCUGGUAUCGAGAACAGGUACGGGGAGAGUGUCAGGUGGGCAGUUUGACUGGGGCGGUCGCCUCCCAAAGAGUAACGGAGGCGCCCAAAGGUACGCUCAGAUUGGAUGGAAACCAAUCGACGAGUGCAAUUGCAGAAGCGUGCUUGACUGUGAGACAAACAAGUCGAACAGGGACGAAAGUCGGGAAUAGUGAUCCGGCGGUGCCGAAUGGAAGGGCCGUCGCUCAACGGAUAAAAGCUACCCUGGGGAUAACAGGCUGAUCUCGCCCAAGAGUUCACAUCGACGGCGAGGUUUGGCACCUCGAUGUCGGCUCAUCGCAUCCUGGAGCUGGAUUCGGUUCCAAGGGUUGGGCUGUCCGCCCAUUAAAGCGGUACGCGAGCUGGGUUCAGAACGUCGUGAGACAGUUCGGUCCCUAUCUGUUGUGGGCGAAGGAGAUCUGCGGAGAGCUGUCCUCAGUACGAGAGGACCGGGAUGGACCUACCGCUGGUGCACCGGUUGUUCCGCCAGGGGCAUAGCCGGGUAGCUAAGUAGGGAAAGGAUAAGCGCUGAAAGCAUCUAAGCACGAAGCCUACUCCAAGAUGAGAUCUCCCAUUCGCAAGAAGUAAGACCCCUUAAAGACGAUAAGGUAGAUAGGCCAGGGAUGGAAGUGCAGUGAUGUACGGAGUUGACUGGUACUAAUCGGUCGAGGACUUAAUCAA